RNAcentral lists this transfer RNA (606 nucleotides) under uncultured Synechococcus sp. Its description in RNAcentral is "16S-23S ribosomal RNA intergenic spacer". The stretch from base 258 to 330 matches the Rfam family "tRNA". Lineage: Bacteria; Bacillati; Cyanobacteriota; Cyanophyceae; Synechococcales; Synechococcaceae. The record is from RNAcentral.
AGGGAGAACCAACCUCAAAUGAUGAUCACCACUUUUUAGUGAUCCAUUUGACUGUUCAUUCCUAAGGUCGAUCGGUACCUCAGUGAGUGAUAAUCACUCAUCUCGGUCCUUAAGCUUGUCUAGGUCACCACCCCUUAGCUGAUAAGCUUUGUGGGAUGGGCCCGAGAGGGUUCCUGGGCCAUUAGCUCAGGUGGUUAGAGCGCACCCCUGAUAAGGGUGAGGUCCCUGGUUCAAGUCCAGGAUGGCCCAUCGGGAUUGGGGGUUUAGCUCAGCUGGUAGAGCGCCUGCUUUGCAAGCAGGAUGUCAGCGGUUCGAGUCCGCUAACCUCCAUUAGUCUUGAUAAUGGAACUGUGGCGCAGGGUGACUUAGAAGGAUGUUGGUGAUUCCAGCCUCGUUUGAUUCUUGAUUCAAGUUCAAACGAUGCUGGGCUCAGCAAUGGGUUCAGCAAGAACCUUGACAACUGCAUAGGUAAGUCUGGAAAUAAAGCAUCUCACAGAGAUGAUCCAGGCAUGAAGUGAUUCACGUUACGGCGUGAUUUGCUUGAUGUUUGGUUCAACAAUUCUGGAGAAAAGCCGAGUCCUGAAUCAAUUUGAUCAGGAACAAAAU